Molecule: transfer RNA, 75 nt
Filed under: Ehrlichia minasensis
Lineage: Bacteria; Pseudomonadati; Pseudomonadota; Alphaproteobacteria; Rickettsiales; Anaplasmataceae
Description: partial Gln tRNA
Rfam family: tRNA
About the family: Transfer RNA (tRNA) molecules are approximately 80 nucleotides in length. Their secondary structure includes four short double-helical elements and three loops (D, anti-codon, and T loops).
Source: RNAcentral
UGGGAUGUAGCCAAGUGGUAAGGCAGCGGUUUUUGAUACCGUCAUUUCGGAGGUUCGAACCCUUCCAUCCCAGCC